Molecule: non-coding RNA, 676 nt
Organism: Plectropomus leopardus (leopard coralgrouper)
Lineage: Eukaryota; Metazoa; Chordata; Actinopteri; Perciformes; Serranidae
Source: RefSeq, a predicted model, not a curated record
CAGGUCGGGCUCAGGGUUCAGCCCCGCAGACACGGUCGCCAUCAUGUUCUGCUCCACACACAAGUCUCUCACUCUGGGUGUCCCCAUGUUGAAGAUCGUGUUUGAGGGUUUCGAGCAUCUCUCUCUGAUCUCAGUCCCUCUGCUCAUCUAUCACCCGGCUCAGAUUCUGCUCGGCUCCGUCCUCGUCCCCUCCAUCCGCAGCUGGAUGACCAGCAGGCAGAAGUCUAGUCUGUUGUUGAGAUAGGGCCGCAUUCCAACACUGCUGACCAGAGUGAGUAGAGAACUGACGCAAAACACUCAAUUUAAAUAAUUCUCCUUUUUUAUUUUGAAUAAUCCGAGCUGCUGAUCUGCUGUCAUUGUUUAUUUUAAGCUCCUCUCUUUUUAUUUGAUUUUUUAAUUGUUGCGCUGUGUGUGCAGCAGCUCCCUCUGCUGUCCGCCUGCAUGAGCCGCCUGCUUCUGCUCCAGCAGCGCUGCACUGGACCGAUGGUGGUGGUGAUCGAUGCAAUGACGCCAGAAAAUUACUGCAAAUUUAAAUAUUUAAUAUUUUAAUUUAAACUCGUGCAUGCUGCUCAGGAUAAUCUCAAUCCACGGCUCCUCUGACAGCAGCGUGGGGACUGUCCCUCUCCUCCUGCACUGUUUAUAUACAAUAAAUCAUUUAACUUAAUCAACUUUUAGU